This 481-nucleotide ribosomal RNA is filed under the name uncultured bacterium. Its description in RNAcentral is "bacterial SSU rRNA". It matches the Rfam family "Bacterial small subunit ribosomal RNA", at positions 28 to 507 of the family's 1533-position model. The record is from RNAcentral.
GAUGAACGCUGGCGGCGUGCCUAACACAUGCAAGUCGAACGGAGUUACUUUGGUGAAGUUUUCGGAUGGAUCUGAUUUAACUUAGUGGCGGACGGGUGAGUAAUGCGUGAGCAACCUGCCCUUCAGAGGGGGACAACAGUUGGAAACGACUGCUAAUACCGCAUAAUGUAUCCGGGAGGCAUCUCCUGGAUACCAAAGGAGAAAUCCGCUGAUGGAUGGGCUCACGUCUGAUUAGCUAGUUGGUGAGGUAACGGCUCACCAAGGCUGCGAUCAGUAGCCGGACUGAGAGGUUGAACGGCCACAUUGGGACUGAGAUACGGCCCAGACUCCUACGGGAGGCAGCAGUGGGGAAUAUUGGGCAAUGGGCGAAAGCCUGACCCAGCAACGCCGCGUGAAGGAAGAAGGCCUUCGGGUUGUAAACUUCUUUAAGAGGGACGAAGAAGUGACGGUACCUCUUGAAUAAGCCACGGCUAACUACGUG